Helianthus annuus (common sunflower) is the source of this 2655-nucleotide long non-coding RNA. RefSeq lists it as uncharacterized. Lineage: Eukaryota; Viridiplantae; Streptophyta; Magnoliopsida; Asterales; Asteraceae. The transcript has 8 exons. The record is from RefSeq and is a predicted model, not a curated record.
CAUAGGACUGAAGGCUAAUUCCAUUAAGGACAGAGUAAAAAUGCUUCCUGGUUUAGACACAUUUGAAUGGAAACCAGGUAUAAACCACUUCAUGAUUGACGGUCGGGUUCAGGCUAAUAUUGAGUUGGAUAAUGUUAAAGAUGAUGUAAAUUCUGGAACGGAACUCGAUUCAAGAACAUCUUUAGUUUGUUAUAUCCAUGUACAUAAUGAUAAGGAAAAGAAGGUAGAAGGUAGCGUAAAGUGGGGUAUGGUUGCAGGAAUUCAUGGGGAUCGCUUAUCACUAUUACAGUCCAUGUUUGAAACUUCUUUAAACUCGGUAAUGACACACUUAAAUAUUGGUGUCUACAACAAAGAUGAAACGUUUACUUGGGAACCAAGGUGGCAAUGGAUUCAAAGGGUUGUGGAUGUGGAUUUAAAAGACUUGUAUAUGUAUUCAAAGGGAGGUUUAGGAACAAAUGUAGCAUUCAACUUUCAAAUAAUCAACGGUGCUGCUCAUGCUAAUGUUGCUAUUGGUAGGUGUUAUUUUGAGGCCAAAGAUGAGUGUUCAUUUGGAGGAGUUUGUGAAAAUAUGAGAGAACUUGUUCACAAAAGAUAUAACAGGGCCAAGAAAAUUGUAUUAACAUCAACAAGAGAUACCAAAGAAAGUACAGUAUUGCAACAAGGAUUUAAAGUUUCUGUCGUUGAUGGUGAUAAAAAUCAAGCAUUCUUUUUUGUUUUUGACACUUUUGAUUAAUGGGUUGGGUUGUUAUUUUGGACUUUUGAGGUCAAAAGUCUUAUAGGAGGGAACUAUUGUUACGUGUCAAAAUAAGUUGAGGGGCCUCAAUGUAAUUGUUCUAUAGUGUAGGGGGUUAUUGAUUCGUUAGUGACUAUAUAGUUGAGUGUGUUGUAACAGAUGGGUAUCGAUGAAUUGAUAAGGGUUUUCCCUCUUCUUCUGUGUUUCUUCCUUUCUUUUAUCGAUCUAUCCUGAUUACCAUUUCUGAUCGUAUCAAAGGGAAAGAGAGAGAGAGAGCGCGCACAGGAGGAAAGGCAGAGCCCGGUCAAUCAACGGCGGUCUCCGACGCUGGUUUCUUGCUGGAAACAAUUGUCGUCAAUUUCACUUUUAUCUCCGAUAUAACCUGGGGAUAAUCACAACAUAAGAACUCCAGGAGUCACCGAUUCACUUUUUGUACUUAUCUCUUGAUGGAGGAUCACUCUAAGGUUCUCCAGCCAUGUCUAGGGUUACAUCUCGUGAUUACAGCCGAUGGGGAUACAGAUUUCGCCUCCCCAUCCCUUCACAGUAAUCGUUUCUCCUUUAUCGCAAUCCAUCCCGUUCGUUAUUUGAUUUUGUUUGUUAUUGUUGUGAUUGCAUUCAUGCUGGGUAACCGAUUUCAAUUGAUUAUGUCUGUGGUGUGAGGGUGAAAGGAGAAGAGUCAGUUCUGACUGGACUUACUCUGGACCAUUCGACCUCGCCCACGAGUUAGAGGCAUUGGUGGGACAACAUGGGACGUACACGGAUGUUGAUGUGGGAAGACGGGUUUUGUAGAGGACGAAUGGCGGAUUCUUUAGAAGAAAUGGAUGCAGCAGGGGAAGAUCCUGUUAGAAAAGCCUUCAGCAAAAUGUCAAUUUAGUUGUAUAAUUAUGGAGAUGGGUGGGUAGUUGGUAGGUGUUUGUUAUCAAUUUUAAGAUUAAUGGGAAAAAUUGCUUCUGAUAAGUGUCACAAAUGGGUCUUCAAAGAACCUUCAGAAUGUGAUCAGAGCAUAUCUAACUAUUGGCAAAGUUCUUUUGAUGCUUCGCCGGUUGAAGUGAGGAGGAUAUUCACAAUGGGGCUUCCGUCUCACCAUGCUGGACAGAUUCUUUUUGGACCGAACUAUGUGUACUUGUAUUUCAUGAUGGGGGAUGGUGGUGGAGGUGAUCUAUACAAUUUUGCACAGAACAAGUCUUUGCUUGCCAAUUUUGCACAGAACAAGUCUUUGCUUGCCAAGAUUAUGAGAUUUGACGUCAAUGACAUACCCAGUGAAUCAGAAGUCACUCGUCUUCGACUAUGGGGAAACUAUUCUAUCCCGAGUGACAAUCCGUAUAUCGAAGAUAAAGAUUUAAAGCCAGAAAUCUGGGCCUUAGGAUUACAGAACCCAUGGCGUUGCAGCUUUGACUCCGAAAGACCAUCGUAUUUCAUGUGCGGAGAUGUAGGCCAGAAUGACUAUGAAGAAAUGGAUAUAAUCACAAAAAACGGGAACUACGGGUGGCGUAUCAUUCUUGUGAUUUAAAGGCUUUCUUGGUUUGCCGCAUUACAAGUUUAUGUUGAUGGCACCACAACGUUGUCAACACAUGAAAAGAACCUAACAUUAGAGAAUUUUAUGGUGGCAAAUGGGCUCACAGUUGAAGGAAUAUUGGAGAACUGGUUUGAUAAUUUACCAGUUGUGAUGAAAGAAUGGAGUGAAAACAAAAAGGAACUUAUAGAUCUAUUUGAUGUAGUUAGGGAUGAAUGGGUGGAAAAUAAUGUGGAUGCAUGGUUGGGAGCACACAGGUGAUUUUAAUUUUUGAAUUUGUCAAAAUGACGGGUCGGGUCAGGGUCAACCCAAACACUCUAUGCAAAAAGUUAUAAUUGAUAAGUGUGUUACACAGCGAGUACAAGAGUUGUACUAUUUUAAUGGUAAUAUAGAUACCAAGGUUUGCUUU